Molecule: long non-coding RNA, 357 nt
Organism: Hippocampus comes (tiger tail seahorse)
Lineage: Eukaryota; Metazoa; Chordata; Actinopteri; Syngnathiformes; Syngnathidae
Exons: 2
Source: RefSeq, a predicted model, not a curated record
CACAGGUAUACCAGUGACUGCGAGUACACCAAUUUUCACAAGUAUGCCAAUGACUACAAGUAUACUGUAUCAGCUUACAUAAGCAUAUCAGUUUUACAUCAGUUUCCACAAGUAUACCAACGAGUGCAAUGGGCACUCAACACUAAAAGAACAGCAGUCAUCUUUUUUUUCUUUAUUUUCUACUCAACUACUGACCUUUAGUCCUGAUCCACUAGCACGGGGACUCAGUCAGCACAAAUAAAUCAGAAGCAGCGAUGUCUAGUUUUAAGGCUUGCAUGAAAUCUCAACGGAUGGAGAUAAUUCUGUCAUCGAAAGGAGUACACAGAGUGGCCGCAUGAUCGCGUGAGCGAAAAAAAA